This 433-nucleotide ribosomal RNA is filed under the name uncultured archaeon. RNAcentral's name for it is "bacterial SSU rRNA". It matches the Rfam family "Archaeal small subunit ribosomal RNA", at positions 1 to 432 of the family's 1478-position model. The record is from RNAcentral.
UUCCGGUUGAUCCUGCCGGAGGCCACUGCUAUCGGAGUCCGACUAAGCCAUGCGAGUCGAGGGGCUCUCUUUUGAGAGCACCGGCGAACGGCUCAGUAACACGUGGCUAACCUACCCUCGGGUGGGGGAUAACCUCGGGAAACUGAGGCUAAUCCCCCAUAGGUCUAGGUUGCUGGAAUGCGCCUAGGCCGAAAGCUCCGGCGCCCGAGGAUGGGGCUGCGGCCUAUCAGGUUGUAGUGGGGGUAACGGCCCCACUAGCCUACGACGGGUACGGGCUGUGGGAGCAGGAGCCCGGAGAUGGACCCUGAGACAAGGGUCCAGGCCCUACGGGGCGCAGCAGGCGCGAAACCUCCGCAAUGCGCGCAAGCGCGACGGGGGGACUCCGAGUGCCCUGGCCUUUGGUCAGGGCUUUCCGGAGUCUAAAAAGCUCCGG